This 3028-nucleotide long non-coding RNA is filed under the name Strigops habroptila (Kakapo). Its description in RNAcentral is "lncRNA (ENSSHBG00005011000.1)". The record is from RNAcentral. Lineage: Eukaryota; Metazoa; Chordata; Aves; Psittaciformes; Psittacidae.
GAGCAUCGUAAAAGAUGGGUUCUGCAAGGGUUUUAUUUUUUAUUUACAGCAAACAUAUUACAGUAAAAAAGCUUAACAUGGCUCACAUUGUGGUUGAGUAAGGACAAUACAUAUGCUUACAUCAAACAGGUUUAAUUUCCUUGGCACUAACCGAACCAAAUGCAAGAAUUCAACAUAAAAUUAAGAAACAGAACAUUUAUUAGGCAAACUCUACAUUAACUGUACACAUCUGCGGCUGGAGUUUCAAUGCAAUCCAAAGAAUACAAACAAGCCAUCAGGAUGGCAAGAACUUUUUUCAACAAACAUGUUUAACCCUCAAGACAAGGCUGUCUGGCACCAUUUAAAAGUCGCUGUACCGAACACAGUGAUUUUAAGGAAAUGUCAUAGAUGAUUAAGACACUGAAAACGCACUCAUCACAGUGAAGAACCCCAUUAUUUUCCUUAUUUUUUUCUCUCUUUUUUUUUUGACUCCCACCAUGCAAUAGUGUGAAAAGGCUGCAUGGCAGACAAGCUGGAUGCAACUGCUGGAGGGUUUUGCCUGUCAAAAACAAAGUGACUUGCAGCAAGAGACAUGCUUUAUGCAACAAACCCAAUGAUAUACAGCUUGUGUGAGUUCAAAUAUGAAGAUCUAGGAACGACAGAUGUUGAAGCCUUAUAAGCUCUCUUCAUUAUAAUCAGAAUCCUGAGAAAAGCAGGGUCCAAAUUACUCCAAGUGAAUUUAGGCUUACUUAUAUACAACAAAAUUGUCCAGAUACCUCAACAGUAGUAAACAGAGUUAAUGCAGUGUUAAUCUUUUUACAUUUUAAUGACUAGCUAUAAAAACAGAAACUAACAUGUUCUAAUCUGUUUACAUUUCCUGAGCUUAGUUAAAUCAAGAAGGAAUGAACAUUAUAAAAAUCCUGGUAAGUCACCAAUAAAUUAAAAAUGUACAUAACCACUAUCACUUAAGAAGCUUUGCAGUGCUCGGAGUGAAGUCUGCCUAUCUGAUUACCAUGGUCUUUCCUUUAGGACUCCUGUACAGAAACCAUGCCAUUAACUUCACCAGCAAAACUGAGAUGCUAUGGAACUGUAGGUCUUUUUUCCCGCUCUCCAAGUGGCUUCUAGCAGACCAUACGAUAGCGAUAGCCGUUCCUAAUCAAAUCAGAGAGCAUUCAAAAACUGCAAUCCUCUACUUCCAGUGCAAGAAACAAUGUUCUCAGAAACACAAUGUGCUACUGAAAUGAAAAUUUACUAGCAGCAGCUAUUUGAGUGGACUCUCAGCUCUUGCACAUAAAAUGACCACGCCGGCAGCAGGGUUAGUAUCCUUUAGGGGGAACAAACCAAUGAAAAUCUACACAGAAGAUAAAGAAUAAAGAUAAAGAAUCUACACAGCAAUAAAGAAUUCAUCUUGGCGGUUUCUUUAAGAGCCAACAUCUUGCAUUUGAGAAAAGCACUGGACCUCCAUGAGUCAUACACAUGUUUAUUUAUGCAUGUUUAUUUCCUGCAUAGAGGAUAAUGUGUAGCUUGGAAUAAAACCCAGCUUUGAGAAUAUACUGAGACUAUGGGUAUUUGUCAUUGUGCUAUUGGCAGAAUAAUUCAAACCCAAAUGCUCAAACUCAACUGUCUUAAAGACUUGCAGAGCAUGAACUUUGAUAAAACGAACUACUUUUAAAAAAAUGUCUGCUUAUAGCAUGAUUUUUAAUUUGUGGUGUAGAUAAAAGAGAGGUAGAAAGGUUUAUCCCCUCAAUAUUAUUUUCUGUGCAGUAUUUAUAAAUUAUCAGAAAAAAACCUAUAGAUUUUUGGUGAAAAUACCAGCUUUUUUUCUAAGAGUUAUAUGGAAUCUCUUCUUUCCACUGAAGUGCUGCAAACUAAGUAACUAGAAUUUGGUUCAGAAAAGCUCUUCUUUCCAUUAGCUUCAUUUGUGUUACUGAAUUCUGCUUUUAAGAAGUCAUUCUGGAAAUAUUCCUAUACAGGGCUCAAAGAUACCUAGCAGAUACAACCUACCAAAAAAAACUACGUUUACCAGCCAAAUAACACCACGUCUGCUCCUAAAAAAAGCACUCGCUCUACUUACAUGAUCCCUCUUACACAUGCUACUGAGAGGGAGAGAAGUAUGGAAGGCCUUUUGGCCCUUCCCCUCUUUGUUGAUGACCACAGGUAUGAGCAGCAUCAUCACUCUGGCUGGUAGUAGCUACAGAGCUUCUUAAGGCAGCUUCUUUUCCUGCCAUGAUCCACCCUCUGCAGCAGGAGGAUGGAUGGUGCUUUAGUGAUGAAUGCUCCUCAAAAAGGGUAGGAAAGAUGAGUUGACCAGGAGAGAUAGCUUAAGAGAAACCACGUUAUAAGACAAAUAUCCAUCCUUCCCUCGUGUAAGACCAGCCUGCAGUGCUAAAGUUUUCAUGAUUGUCACUAGACAAGGGAAAGAGAUGAAAACAUUUCGGGUCCUGCAGCUGCAGUCAUCAAGAGUGUGAUCCAGAGUGCAGUGCAUUUCCCACUGAGCCAAGAGCCUCGGACCCAGCAGUGCCAGGGAAAGGUAAGUCAGAGACAACGGGGUGAGAUCUGCCAAUAGGGGCCCCAUCGCUGAUCCCCGUUCUCACUGCACUGGGAGAGCUGAUGGAUCUGGAAGAGAAUGACCUGCCUGUUGACAUUUUGGGGUGCACAGGGCUGGAGCUCAAGCAUUACUCAUGUAGCAGCGGCUGUUCAAGGGUGGAUUUGAGCCAUGAAAGUCAGAUUGCUGCACGGUGACCUUUAAUUUACCCAGAGAAAGUUAAAUAAAUUACAUUAAAUUAAAUUCAGCCGAAGCAGAUGCUAGCUUAUUUAUUAAAAAGAUCAGCUUUCUCUUUCUUUCAGCCAGUUUUAGAGACAGGCAGCUCCUGGGAGCAGACCAUCAUUCUAACUCAGUUGGACAAGAACAGCUACAUAGAGAUGGUCAGAGUGACUCUCCUGCAGCAAUACUAGCCACAACAAGACCUGGCUGUCCCUAGGGAUGCCCAGCAAAGGCACGUGAUGGUCAGAGUGACUCUCCUGCAGCAAUACCAGCCACAACAAGACC